Molecule: long non-coding RNA, 785 nt
Organism: Xenopus tropicalis (tropical clawed frog)
Lineage: Eukaryota; Metazoa; Chordata; Amphibia; Anura; Pipidae
Exons: 2
Source: RefSeq, a predicted model, not a curated record
UCGGCCGGUUUAGCCACACCCUCCCGCUAGACUUCAUUUCCUCUCUAUGGUUUGUGUUUAGCGAGUGCGUCAGUGAGUGAGAGAGUCGGCUCGUAGCAUGGCGGCUACCCGGGGGCAGGGUGCGGGGGGCACCGGCGGGAACGCACAGGGAGGGAAGAAGUAUCAAGGGAAGGUGCAGCAUUUUGUAUUUGGUCAUCAGGAAUGGAAUGGAAACAACACAAGGAAGAAGGCUUAUGUCCCACCCACAGUUGCUCUCACCCUCCCACCGGCCCCACCCACCUGGCAGGAAGCACCCACAUUGGAGGACAGCCUGCCAUUCUCUCGUACCCCCCAUCCGCAUCGCUGAGCAGUGCCGCACCCGUAGCCCACCUUCUUGCCUCUCCAUGUACCUCAAGGCCUAUUCUACAGCACCCGACCUACAGUCUGUCUCACCCUAGUGGCGUCGUUACCAAGUUGCCGUGGGCAUCAAUCCCCGCCUCUUACCCUCCCCAACCAUCCAUCAGACUCAGUUCAAACCAAUGGUUCCAUCCCAUUCGUACAUCAUGGCGUCCAAUGAGCCUACGAAACUCAGUCAGUAUCCGUACAUGUGAGAUCUCAAGAACGCUCGGAGGAAGAUCAAAGAUUCAGACUUAUUUCAAAGAAGAAUUUAAACACAUGGCCUUGUGGUAAAUAUGCCCUGGCACAAGAAAUUAAGGAUAUUUUUUUAAAAAAACUCAUGUAGACGGGUGCAGUUUAAACAAUGUUGAGCUAUAAAUAAAGAAAAUCAUUUGCACAUUUGGUAUAAA